Molecule: ribosomal RNA, 420 nt
Filed under: Paraconvexitermes junceus
Lineage: Eukaryota; Metazoa; Arthropoda; Insecta; Blattodea; Termitidae
Description: partial 16S ribosomal RNA
Source: RNAcentral
CAAAAACAUCUUUUCUUGUUAGUUUUUGAAGUAUGACCUGCCCACUGACGUUUAAAAAAUUGUUGAAGGGCCGCGGUAUUUUGACCGUGCAAAGGUAGCAUAAUCAUUAGUUCUUUAAUUGUGAUCUGGUAUGAAUGGUUUGACGAGACAUAAGCUGUCUUAGGAGUAUUGAUUGUUGAAUUUGAUUUUUGAGUUAAAAUACUUAAAUGUUUUUAUGGGACGAGAAGACCCUAUAGAGUUUAACAGAUUUUUUGUUUAUUUUUAUGUUUGUUUGGUAUUUAUUGAGCAUUAAUUUUGUUUUGUUGGGGUGAUGGGAGGAAGUGCAUUUAACUCCUCUUUGUUUUUAUAUAUUUAUUUAUGUGUUUUUGAUCCAUUUAUUUUGAUUAUAAGAUUAAAUUACCUUAGGGAUAACAGCGUAAA